UGCACAGUUGUUGAUUGAAAAUAACUCUGGAC
This 32-nucleotide non-coding RNA is filed under the name Rattus norvegicus (Norway rat). The record is from RNAcentral. Lineage: Eukaryota; Metazoa; Chordata; Mammalia; Rodentia; Muridae.